Molecule: RNA transcript, 1130 nt
Organism: Capra hircus (goat)
Lineage: Eukaryota; Metazoa; Chordata; Mammalia; Artiodactyla; Bovidae
Gene name: POU domain, class 5, transcription factor 1 pseudogene
Exons: 1
Source: RefSeq, a predicted model, not a curated record
UAGGAGAUCCCUCGUUUUUCUAGGCCCCCGGCUCGGGGUGCCUUCCUUCCCCAUGGCGGGACACCUCGCUUCUGAUUUCGCCUUCUCGCCGCCGCUGGGCGGUGGAGGCGAUGGGCCAGGAGGGCCAGAGCCGGGCUGGGUUGAUCCUCGGACCUGGAUGAGCUUCCAAGGGCCUCCUGGUGGGUCGGAGAUAGUACAGGGGUUGGUGCCCGGCGCCGAGGUGUGGGGGCUUCCCCCGUGCCUCCCGCCCUAUGACGUGCGGAGAGAUGGCCUACUGUGCACCGCAGGUUGGAGUGGGGCCGGUGCCCUCAGGCGGCCUGGAGAACCCUCAGCCCGAGGGCGAGGCGGGAGCCGGGGUGGAGAGCAAAUCCGAGGGGGCCUCCCUGGACUCCUGUGCCGCCCCCGCAGGCGCCGCGAAGCUGGACAAGGAGAAGCUGGAGCCGAACCCUGAGGAGUCCCAGGACAUUAAAGCUCUUCAGAAAGACCUUGAACCAUUUGCCAAGGUCCUAAAGCAGAAGAGGAUCACCCUAGGAUAUACUCAGGCCGAUGUGGGGCUCACUCUGGGGGUUCUCUUUGGAAAGGUGUUCAGCCAAACGACUAUCUGCCGUUUUGAGGCUUUGCAGCUCAGUUUCAAGAACAUGUGUAAGCUGCGGCCCCUGCUGCAGAAGGUGGAGGAAGCUGACAACAACGAGAAUCUGCAGGAGAUAUGCAAGGCAGAGACCCUUGUGCAGGCCCAAAAGAGAAAGCGGACGAGUAUCCAGAAGCGAGUGAGAGGCAACCUGGAGAGCAUGCUCCUGCAGUGCCCGAAGCCCACCCUGCAGCAAAUUAGCCACAUCGCCCAGCAGCUCGGGCUGGAGAAGGACGUGGUCCGAGUGUGGUUCUGCAACCGUCGCCAGAAGGGCAAACGAUCAAGCAGUGACUACUCUCAACGCAAGGAUUUUGAGGCUGCGGGGGCUCCUUUCGCAGGGGGACCCGUAUCCUUUCCUCUGAAGCCAGGGCCCCAUUUUGGUACCCCAGGCUACCGGGACCCUCAUUUCACUACGCUGUACUCUUCGGUCCCAUUCCCUGAGGGUGAGGCCUUUCCCUCGGUGUCUGUCACCGCUCUGGGUUUUCCUAUGCGUUCAAACUGA